Varanus komodoensis (Komodo dragon) is the source of this 1350-nucleotide long non-coding RNA. RefSeq lists it as uncharacterized. The record is from RefSeq and is a predicted model, not a curated record. Lineage: Eukaryota; Metazoa; Chordata; Lepidosauria; Squamata; Varanidae. The transcript is spliced from 3 exons.
GCUGGUCAUGCACGCUCCCGAAGGGGGUGGGAUCCUGGAACCACUUACCUGGGAAUAAACGGCACAAGCUCUUCUUCCACCGACGCGCGCGCGCGCGCACUUCUGAGUUGUCUACUAUACAAUCGCGCUGGGAAACUACAGUCCAAGACUCAAACUAAUCGGAUAGUCACGGUUGCGGCUGCUCCCCCCACUUUUUUUUUUUUUUUUUUGCCUUCACUCCGGAGAAAUUGCGCUGGAGGAGGAUCCCCAUCAUCACCACCCGUUUCCCCCACCCCGCAAUUGCAUCCCCACUCCGUGAAGCGUUUAAAAAGGAAAGAAAUGUCCCCACGGGAUCCAACUGAGAUGUGUCUUCUUUUUUAAAGCCCCAAGGGCGAGAGGUCAGCCUGAGUGCACGCCAUCGAACUCACUGGAGUUUGCUCCGGAGUAGAAUCGCCUGUGAUAGAGCUGCAGGUCCAGUUCUCGUGCAUCAGAACAGUUCAUAGGACUGGAAAUCGGACUGGUUAUCCAGAAACUAUAUAUUUUAUUGUCUCUUUCAUCACCAUGAAUGACAAAAAUGAGAACAGGCAGAAGGUAAAGCCUUGUGGUUACUGUGGAUUCCUUCCCCACCAACCAGAUACACCGGACUUCAACUCCCAUUUGUCUUUUCCCAUGGAAAGCACUCCUCGGGGGAAGACUGACCUACUCAUGUUUUUGUCACCCAGUCAGGUCUGUUUGGAUGGAAGUUGUAGGUAGUACAGAGCAACCAAGCAGGUAGUAACUAUGUUUUGUGAAGUAUAUAUUCAUCAAGGAGACUUUGUCCUGAUUUGGGUGCUACACUGUGGCUCAUCAGGGGUUAUUUAAGAUUAAGCUUAGUUAACCAUGAGAAGCCCUGGUGUCCACAAUUGCCAUGUUGCAUAUCUAAUCUGCAUUCAGGGGUUCUGAUCUUACAGUAUGUGAACACAGUGAGUGAGUGUUAGACCAUGGAUUAUGCAAGCGUUAAGCAGACCAUGAGUUAUGCAAAGGUUGUUUAAGGUGAGAAAGCACCAAAAAAAAAAAAAAAAGUGUUUGGGGGAUGAAAGGCAAGUUCAAAAGAAUGGAGUGUGAUCCCUGAGAAAUCUCAGAAGGCCAUUCUGGGGCUGGAAGGGCCAAAUUUGGAUGCUGGAACAGACAUUUUCUACCCCUGGUGCUGCUAAGUAGGAAACAAUUGACUGAGAAAAGUCCUCUAUAUGCACUGUAGAAAACUGGCUGCAUUUUACUUUUACCAUGAAUGACUUAGGAGUUCUAAGCAUUAAUUGGAAGUUGUGAAUUAAGUAAGCAUUCCCCUUGAAAAAGAGACACUCCCAAAAAGUAUGGGAAAAGAUACAUGUUGAU